Molecule: ribosomal RNA, 253 nt
Filed under: uncultured bacterium
Lineage: Bacteria
Description: partial 16S ribosomal RNA
Rfam family: Bacterial small subunit ribosomal RNA
Source: RNAcentral
UACAUAGGGGGCAAGCGUUAUCCGGAAUUAUUGGGUGUAAAGGGUGCGUAGACGGAGAAACAAGUUGGUUGUGAAAUCCCUCGGCUCAACCGAGGUACUGCAACCAAAACUAUUUCCCUUGAGUGUCGGAGAGGAAAGUGGAAUUCCUAGUGUAGCGGUGAAAUGCGUAGAUAUUAGGAGGAACACCAGUGGCGAAGGCGACUUUCUGGACGAUAACUGACGUUGAGGCACGAAAGUGUGGGGAGCAAACAGG